This 254-nucleotide ribosomal RNA is filed under the name uncultured bacterium. Its description in RNAcentral is "partial 16S ribosomal RNA". It matches the Rfam family "Bacterial small subunit ribosomal RNA", at positions 524 to 775 of the family's 1533-position model. The record is from RNAcentral.
UACGGAGGGAGCUAGCGUUGUUCGGAUAUACUGGGCGUAAAGCGCACGUAGGCGGCGCAGCAAGUCAGGGGUGAAAUCCCGGAGCUCAACUCCGGAACUGCCUUUGAAACUGCAGUGCUAGAAUCCUGGAGAGGCGAGUGGAAUUCCGAGUGUAGAGGUGAAAUUCGUAGAUAUUCGGAAGAAACACCAGUGGCGUAAGGCGACUCGCUGGACAGGUAUUGACGCUGAGGUGCGAAAGCGUGGGGAGCAACAGG